Molecule: ribosomal RNA, 497 nt
Filed under: uncultured bacterium
Lineage: Bacteria
Description: partial 16S ribosomal RNA
Rfam family: Bacterial small subunit ribosomal RNA
Source: RNAcentral
GAUGAACGCUGGCGGCGUGCCUAAUACAUGCAAGUCGAGCGAACAGACGAGGAGCUUGCUCCUCUGACGUUAGCGGCGGACGGGUGAGUAACACGUGGAUAACCUACCUAUAAGACUGGGAUAACUUCGGGAAACCGGAGCUAAUACCGGAUAAUAUAUUGAACCGCAUGGUUCAAUAGUGAAAGACGGUUUUGCUGUCACUUAUAGAUGGAUCCGCGCCGCAUUAGCUAGUUGGUAAGGUAACGGCUUACCAAGGCAACGAUGCGUAGCCGACCUGAGAGGGUGGACGGCCACACGGGAACUGAGACACGGUACAGACACCUACGGGAGGCAGCAGUAGGGAAUCUUCCGCAAAGGGCGAAAGCCUGACAGAGCAACGCCGCGUGAGUGAUGAAGGUCUUCGGAUCGUAAAACUCUGUUAUUAGGGAAGAACAAAUGUGUAAGUAACUAUGCACGUCUUGACGGUACCUAAUCAGAAAGCCACGGCUAACUACGUG